This 196-nucleotide non-coding RNA is filed under the name Lachnospiraceae bacterium. RNAcentral's name for it is "6S RNA". It matches the Rfam family "6S / SsrS RNA". Rfam says of the family: E. coli 6S RNA was the first non coding RNA to be sequenced, but its function was unknown until recently. It consists of 184 nucleotides that fold into an extended hairpin structure with a large single-stranded internal bulge. The record is from RNAcentral. Lineage: Bacteria; Bacillati; Bacillota; Clostridia; Lachnospirales; Lachnospiraceae.
AUUAACCUGAAAUGUGCGACAACUCCUGUUAGUUUUGAACCUACAGAUACUUUAAACGGGAUUCCUAUAUCGCCUUGUGGCUGUCAAGCCCUCACUUUGAAAGAAGGAUUGGAAGGGAAGGCAAAAGCAUAGGCUGCGGUCACCCACCUAGCAUUGCUAGGAGUCAAAAGGCAGGAACCGGCAUUUUGGGGAUACC